Molecule: transfer RNA, 72 nt
Filed under: Chromohalobacter marismortui
Lineage: Bacteria; Pseudomonadati; Pseudomonadota; Gammaproteobacteria; Oceanospirillales; Halomonadaceae
Also listed under: 3 other names
Description: tRNA-Gln
Rfam family: tRNA
About the family: Transfer RNA (tRNA) molecules are approximately 80 nucleotides in length. Their secondary structure includes four short double-helical elements and three loops (D, anti-codon, and T loops). Further hydrogen bonds mediate the characteristic L-shaped molecular structure. tRNAs have two regions of fundamental functional importance: the anti-codon, which is responsible for specific mRNA codon recognition, and the 3' end, to which the tRNAs corresponding amino acid is attached (by aminoacyl-tRNA synthetases). tRNAs cope with the degeneracy of the genetic code in two manners: having more than one tRNA (with a specific anti-codon) for a particular amino acid; and 'wobble' base-pairing, i.e. permitting non-standard base-pairing at the 3rd anti-codon position.
Source: RNAcentral
UGGGGUAUAGCCAAGUGGUAAGGCACCGGUUUUUGGUAUCGGCAUUCGCAGGUUCGAGUCCUGCUACCCCAG